Molecule: small nucleolar RNA, 73 nt
Organism: Lepisosteus oculatus (spotted gar)
Lineage: Eukaryota; Metazoa; Chordata; Actinopteri; Semionotiformes; Lepisosteidae
Gene: SNORD24
Rfam family: Small nucleolar RNA SNORD24
About the family: U24 is a member of the C/D class of snoRNA which contain the C (UGAUGA) and D (CUGA) box motifs. C/D box snoRNAs have been shown to act as methylation guides for a number of RNA targets.
Source: Ensembl
UGCAGAUGAUGUAAUGAAUAUUUGCUAUCUUAGAAAGCAAUGCCGACAACUUUCCACCAAGAUCUCUGAUGCA